Molecule: long non-coding RNA, 829 nt
Organism: Folsomia candida
Lineage: Eukaryota; Metazoa; Arthropoda; Collembola; Entomobryomorpha; Isotomidae
Exons: 6
Source: RefSeq, a predicted model, not a curated record
CCAGUGAAAUAAAAGCUCCACCAGGAGAAAAAGUUUUCUCUCCGAGCAGCUGCUGCUACAAGGAGCUUGCUCAUUAACUAAUGUAAGCCAUGCACGUUAUUCACUACUACUAAUAUCAACUUAAAUGCAACGUGCAAUUUGCAAAGAAAAUAUUCACAUUUGAGAGGAGAUUAUUUUAAAAAUAAAUACUUGCAAAAGUGUGUGUGUGUGUGUGUGUGUGUGUGUUUGUGUGAUGAAGGGUCAUACAGGAUGGAGAUUGAUAUCAAUAAAUUGUAACAACAGCACCAAAGAUAGGAUGAUAAAUGAAGGUUUUAUUUUCUGAGGAGCCAUAUCCUUUGGCUCCACGCCGAGAAGCAACAGGUGCUGUGGUGGUAAUAAUUUCAUCAAACGUAGACUUCUUCAACGGUCCAUUAUGGAGUUUUAUAAUCAAGAACUGAGCAACACGAUCCCCAAGUUCAACUUGAUAUGGAAGUUUCCCAUGGUUGAUUAGCAUAACCCCCAAAGUUCCUUCAAAAUCUUCAUCGACCACGCCCCCCAUGACGUCAAUUUUAUGCCGCAACGCUAACCCAGACCUUGGUUUAAUCAAACCAACAUGGCCCAACGUACAAAUCAUAACCAGCAGAUUGAGGGUGCAACUUUGUUGGAAAUUUACUUUCAAAGGUCUUCCUAAUAAAGUGGACCGUUCUAUAGUCAUCUAGAAGGAAAUCAACUACUACAUUCAAUCCAUAUAAUGAGAGAUACCAUCAAAACGGGAUACCAAAAAUUGUCAGGCAAGAAGUGAAAAAACUGUACGCCCUGAUUAGAAUCUACUUCCUCUGACCACCAACAA